GAUGAACGCUGGCGGCGUGCCUAACACAUGCAAGUCGAGCGAACAGAUGAGGCGCUUGCUCCUCUGACGUUAGCGGCGGACGGGUGAGUCACACGAGGAUAACCGACCUAUAAGACUGGGAUAACGUCGGGAAACCGGAGCUAAUACCGGAUAAUAUAUUGAACCGCAUGGUUCAUUAGUGAAAGACGGUUUUGAUGUCACUUAGAGAUGGAUCCGCGCCGCAUUAGCUAGUUGGUAAGGUAACGGCUUACCAAGGCAACGAUGCGUAGCCGACCUGAGAGGGUGAUCGGCCACACUGGAACUGAGACACGGUCCAGACUCCUACGGGAGGCAGCAGUAGGGAAUCUUCCGCAAUGGGCGAAAGCCUGACGGAGCAACGCCGCGUGAGUGAUGAAGGUCUUCGGAUCGUAAAACUCUGUUAUUAGGGAAGAACAAAUGUGUAAGUAACUAUGCACGUCUUGACGGUACCUAAUCAGAAAGCCACGGCUAACUACGUG
This 497-nucleotide ribosomal RNA is filed under the name uncultured bacterium. Its description in RNAcentral is "partial 16S ribosomal RNA". It matches the Rfam family "Bacterial small subunit ribosomal RNA", at positions 28 to 507 of the family's 1533-position model. The record is from RNAcentral.